Molecule: long non-coding RNA, 1226 nt
Filed under: Anas platyrhynchos (mallard)
Lineage: Eukaryota; Metazoa; Chordata; Aves; Anseriformes; Anatidae
Description: lncRNA (ENSAPLG00020011181.1)
Source: RNAcentral
AUGUGCAAAGGCAGGACUACAUCCCACCGUGAAAUGAGCUGUGGUAAAGCUCCCAGGAAUGCUUCCUCUGAAGGCCCCAGUGCUGCAGCAAGAGGAGCAGUACGCCCAGGCAUUGUCAUGGCUCCGGUUUGCUGGACUGUCAUCUUGCCCCUCAGCAGCAGCAAAAGCUUCCUGAUACAGUAUCAAAAAUUCACCCACCAAAAAUAACAAACCAAGCCAUCAGCGAAAACAAACAGACAAGAAAACAGCAUCCCUUCUGGUAAGUGUCUUGGGGCCCUUGUUCUGUUACACGAGUUGCUGGUGAGCAGUGCUCCCAUGACUCCUGGGACGGUUUCUUAGGCCCGGUGGGAAGGUGGCAGUGAGGUGGUGCUCGCAGCAGCAGACCUGGCAGCAAUACCAGCGCUGUCCUGGCCCUGCGAGGCCAGCGGAGCUGCCUGAGGCUGGCUGUGAAGCAGGGCAGAGUCCUCAGGUAGGCAGUGUGUUUCCUAGAGAGGGCAGAAGUAAAUUGCUUUAAGAAGCUGUGCCAAGUGCCGCUAGCAACAGCAUUCCACAGAUAAAGUGGUGAGAGCCAAAUUUAAAGAUGAAGUAGAUGCUUUGGACCCAUCUCUUACUUAAAAGUAAUGACCCAUCUGUGUCUUGGCAACACCUUGAUGAGCAUUUUGACCGGUUACAUGACGAAGAUGCUAACAGUAACAAAAACCAGCAGAAUCUCUUACAGCAGAGUACUGGAGAUAGUUUCUUUUGCUGUGUUCCCCCUUCAUUUUAAAUAUCACUCCCGUCCCGUCACACUAGAGAUGUCAAAAAAAUGACAGGCAGGAGUUGAAAAGAAAAUCUAAAGCCAGACUAGGAAUAAGUGUUAAUUAAAACAGGAUUUGGAAUAAUCAUGAAGUUCUCCUUUCAUAUCCGUUACGUCUAAAACUUCAUCUAAGACCCAUUUUGGUUUGAUUUACAUGGCUCCUCGUAAUGGUUCUGGUGGAUAUUGUGCUGUGAGAAAGUGUCUGAAAGGCAAUCUAUCUGCAAUAAGGCUUUGUCACUUGUCUUAAGUCACUGAGUGCUCUGCUGCACUGCCAUCGCUAUCCUGAGCUCACAAAUGUGACAUUAACAUAUGUAUGCUGAAAAUUAUGGCUUAUGACUUGGAAAUAAGCCAUAAUAAUAACUUGUCUGUGUUAUACAAUACCCAUCUAUUGACAGUCAGGGGAAUGAAAGCUACUGAUGCACCCCAAAAC